AAGUGACAGAUGGGCAGGUAGCAUAUACAGCGUGGAUCCACUGGACACAGAGAUGAUUCACAUCUGGGCAGGAUGGAACAGGAUGGCACGAAAUUUCAUCAUGCUAGUCAGAAUGGUUCGCAAUUUAAAACUUAUGAAUUAUUUAUUUCUGUAAUUUUCCAUUUAAUAUUUUUGGACUGCAGUUGACCUCAGGAUAAUUGAAACUGCGGAAAGUGAAACUGCAGAUAAGGAGGACUACAAAGUAUCCAAAGUACCUGCAUAUUUGACUGUUUGGAUCCCAAUUGUUUCUUUCCUGAGUUUCAAACAGAAGACUGCUACGUCACAUCACAUACAGAGACCCAAAAAAUCAGUGGGUUUGGACUUCUCUUCUGGAUUUGGAACAUAUAUAGGGUCCCAACUAAGAUACUACAUUAAAUUUAAUUGUAAUAUCUCCUUAGACUUCUCUUGGUUGUGACAGUAUCUUGGACUUUUCUUGUUUUUCACAAUCUUGAAAGUUUUGAGGAGUGCUGAUCAGGUAUUUUAUAGAAUUUUUCUCCAUUGAGAUUUGUCUGAUGUUUUUCUUUUAAUGAGACUGGAGCUAUGUGUCUUGGGGAGGAAGAUCACAAAGGGUGAAGAAGCUGAGAGAACUCUAAACAGGAUAAUCCAAAGAAAUCCAUACCAAGACACACCAUAAUUAAAAUUCUGAAAAUGAAAGACAAAGAAAAAAAUCUAGAAAGAAAUCGGAGAAAACGGACACCUUACCUAUAAGGAAAAACAAUUUGAAUGACAGCUGAUUUCUCUUCAAGUAGUACUUAUAUAUCUCCAUUUUAUAGGAGAAUAAACUGAGGCACUAAAACGUACAGUAACCUUCUCAUGGUCACGCAGCUGGAAAGUGGAGAAGCCAGGUUGUCUGAUUCCAGGGUUUGUGUUCUUACCCUAUACUUAAUGAAGCCAUGAUUAAGCAAUCACUAUAUUAAAGACUGGCAUACAUUCAAGCCCAAUUCACCAGAACACCAAGUUAUAUGAGGUUGUGGAAUCAAAGCCCCAGUUAGUAAUGAAAUAUGAUUCUGUCUGGAAUGUUUUAAAUAUAUAUGUGUGUGUUCUUGGAACGCUCCCUGCAGUUUAAGAGAGAUUGAGAAGUGUUGGAGGAUUCAAGUGUUCUAGAUCCCACAGAGACUCAACUUAUA
RNAcentral lists this long non-coding RNA (1166 nucleotides) under Equus caballus (horse). RNAcentral's name for it is "lncRNA (ENSECAG00000053435.1)". Lineage: Eukaryota; Metazoa; Chordata; Mammalia; Perissodactyla; Equidae. The record is from RNAcentral.